This 1576-nucleotide long non-coding RNA is filed under the name Schizosaccharomyces pombe (fission yeast). Lineage: Eukaryota; Fungi; Ascomycota; Schizosaccharomycetes; Schizosaccharomycetales; Schizosaccharomycetaceae. The record is from RNAcentral.
AAGCAUCAUACGCCAAGUUAUAAAACACUUACUUAAAAACUCAAAAGCCUCUAUACAGUAGUAGGUUAAUAACGAGGAACUAUUAUUCCUUCACGGCAUGCUGCUCAAGAAUACCAGAAAAAUAUUCCACAUGACAAUCGCAAACCAUUUGUAAUGUCUUACGCAUUUCAACAUCGAUACGUUCGCGUAGAAAAUUUAACUCUUGCUCAAGUUUUUCGUUGAAAAUGCAUAAUUCUUGAAACGAUAAUUGAAGCAACUCCAUGGGAUUAGCAUCGUCUUGACCUAAUGAGUACCGCUUUUUUUUAAAAAAUUUUGGAAUACUGAAUAAACUCGAGGUACGUAUAGUAGUGUUGGGCGACGGUUUAAGCUCAGGUGUCUGCUGCACAACGGGAGUGGCUUCUACAAAGUUUGGGUCAGAUCGUGAUGAUUGAUCAGGGUUAUUAGAGUUAGAUUGAACGAUUUGUUGGAAAUGUUCAAAUUGCUUCACCUUUUGUUCACGAGAUUUGAUCAAACUCUUAAAAACCACCAUGUAAUCUUCCAAAUCUUGAAUAGAUGUAAUUACCUUAGAAUGAAAAGAGUUUAUUAAAAAAAUGCUGUUUCUCUUUAGUCUUUUAAAUUCUACAGAGACAACAUCGAGGUUACUGAUGCUUAAAUUAGAAGGGACAGGAAUAUCAGUAGGAAAAUUUUGAACACUAUUCAUGUAUUGAACACAGGUUUUCUCCAACUUUGAGAGAUCCGUAUCCGCAUUUUGGAGAAGCUGUUUUGCUGUUUCAUACAAGCUUUGAGCAUACGGGUCUAAGUUUUGAAUUGAUGAUUCAAUUCCUCCGGAUACGUUAUUGCCCUUGGACUUAGUGUUUUCGGAUUGCAUCCACGCGUUAUGAUAAUAAGAUUUCCAAGAGUUAUUUUCCAAAAAUUGAUACAUAUGCAUAGAAUUGGAAAUUACAGGGUGUGUGGAGCAUCGAUCCAGAAACGUUUGGAGGGAUUGCAUUCGACGAGCAAUGAAUAUGGGAGAUAAUGAACCACCAGAGAAAGAACUAACAGUAUAUUUUCUCGGUAGCGGAGGGAUUGCAUAACCAUUAUAAUCAUGGCUCAAAAUAUUAUGAAGCAUCUCAAAAUCCUUAUAUCUCCGACGAACAGAGAACUUUUUAUCUUCAAAAACUGGCAGAUCCGAUUCAGUCUCAAUUUCAUAAGAGACGAAUGUAUCUCCGCUUCUUAAAGUUUCGAUUUGCUCAUUUUUAAUUGUACAUUUCAGCAUUGCUUACAUGUCAUGAAAGAGAUUGGUAAUCUUGCGACCCAAUAUUUUUAAAGUACAAGAUAAUACAGCUGAUUCGAAGUUCUUUACAAAGCAAUUAAGAUUUUUUUUAAACAAAUAACAAUGAAUGUAACUACAAAAUUCUUCAGAUAUUUUUGCAAUUGCUAUUUCCACAGAAUUUUGUAGUUGGUGCUGACUACGUAAAGAUCCAUUGGAGCACAAGCUAUGUCAAGCGUUCAAUUAGCAAAGAUAUUAGAGAAGAAUCACGCAAAACGGUAGCAAUAUUGAUAAACUUGUUAAGGAAAAGGAAUUUAAUAAACAAUU